Python bivittatus (Burmese python) is the source of this 882-nucleotide non-coding RNA. The record is from RefSeq and is a predicted model, not a curated record. Lineage: Eukaryota; Metazoa; Chordata; Lepidosauria; Squamata; Pythonidae.
ACAGCUUUAUAAAUAAAAAAAACAUUGUUGAGCUUGGAAUGUGGCAUAAUUAAGAUAUGUGUGGGGGGUCCCUUUUAAAUUGAACAGGAGGGACAAUCAAGCAGGUGGGGCCUCCAUUCCUGUCUUGCUACCAAUGGCAGCUGGCACUAUAAUCCCAGGCAUUGGGUCUGGACCCUUCAGCACCACCAGUGGGAAAGCAAAGGCUGGCCUUGGGAUGUCAUACCAGACCCAGGGGAAGUAGGCCAGAACCCAUUCUUCAGAUGGUGGCCAGUGAGAUUCACAAAGUGACAGCAGAGCCACAUGAUCGGGCCUAACCCAGACCUUGCAGGUUGUUCCCAGGCUUCCUGGUUGAUGCUCUUCUUGCAUCCCCAAAUAGGAUGAAGCAGAGAAGAAGGAUGAGAAAGAGAAGAAGAAGGAGCCCGAACCUUCCUUCCAGAUCCUUGACAAUCCAGCCCGGGUGAUGCCAGCCCAACUCAAGGUGCUCACCAUGCCAGAGAGCUGCCGGUACCAGCCUUUUAAGCCUCUUUCCAUUGGGGGCAUUAUCGUCUUGCGAGACACCAGCGAGGACACAGAAGAACUGGUGGAGCCGGUGGCAGCUCACGGGCCAAAGAUAGAGGAGGAGGAGCAGGAGCCAGAGCCCCCCGAACCUUUCGAGUACAUCGACGACUAGGAUGAGGUGGGCAGCCCUCAGUGGGGUUUGGCACAACGUCUGGAUGUCUGGAGCCCUGGGAGGAAGUUCCUGUGGGAAGCCACAGCUCAGCGCACGUCCCAACACUUCUCGGUUGGCAGUCCACGUUCGACAGACAGAGAAGAACUAUGUUCUCUUUAGUGUACUCUUUCACAAGAAACCGGUUUUCAAAAUAAAUUAAUUAAAAACCCCAA